UCUCCGAAGCCCAUUGAUUAGUGUUGAUCAAAGAUCGCUUUAGUCAAACAAAUCCUUUGUACCGUGCUCUAACCCCAAGUCUAUUCAAGUAAUCAAAAGAUCCUUGAUCAUUUGAUAGGGCAAAUUCAUUCUGCUCAAGCUAUAUUGGAUAUGUUGAAUCUCAAGAGCUCAAGACCUCAAAAUUCAAAUGCAAGAUCAAGACUUUAAAGUCAACAUCAAUCAAGCAUAGUUGACAAAAUGGAGGAGUUGGUUAUGGAGAAGUUGGUUAUGGAGAUUCAGUUGGCUGGUUAAGGGUGACAUGGUUGAAGAAGAAUGGAAAAUGAGAGAGGGUUUUUGAAGCCAUCGGAGAAUUCUGUUAUAUCCGUUUGAGGGAGAAAUUAAGAGGUUAUAUUUGGCAGUUAGAGGAAUGAGGAUUUUCUAUUAGAGAAGUUGUGGAGAGAAGUUAGAGGAAUUCUGAAGUUUGGUUUUGGUUAGAGGGAGUGUAUGAUGAGGUCGAUAGACUUGAAGGGAGUGAGGGUUCUAUUAUGAAAAAAUGGGAGAGGUUUGUUGAAAGGUUGUUACAAUUCUGUUAUAGAGAUAUUGAUUAGAGGUUUGUUAGAAUGAAGUUUAGAGUUUUUGCUCCAUUCUGUUUUGGAGUGAGAUUCUUCUGUUAUAAGGGUUUGUAUUUAUGUCUUUAUCAGUUGGAGGUGCGAUUUUGAAGAAGGUUACAAUUUCUUUCUCUUGAAGAGGUUAGGGAAUGGUUUUAACCGUUUUUGAGUUGGUUGUAAUUCAGUUAUAGGGAGGUUAUUGCAAAAUCUGUUAGAAGUUGUUUUCAGAUUCUGUUACAGGUUUUUGAAGGUAGUUAGAAUUGAAGAGUUUCAGUUAUUCGAUUGAGGAAGUUUGAAGGGUGAUUAAAGGAUGGUUUUUUGUAAUGACUGUUUUUGGAGAGUUGAAAUGAAGAGAUCGAAGAGUUUUGGUCCUCGGUUAUGUUCUGUUAGAUUGUUGCAGGGCUUUGUAUUGUUGAUGAGGGAAGUGAGUGAAGGUUUAAAAUUCGGUUAGGGGGAUUUAUGGGAAGUCAUUCUGUUAGAAGUUGGAUCAACUUCUGUAAACCAUUUUUACCGGUUAUCGGUUGGUUGGUGGUUGAAGGUUCCGUUUUAUUAUGCAGUUGGAGGGAAUUUGGAAUUAUGAAUAGAGGACUUUCGUCGCAGUUUCUGGUUCACACUUGGUUGGAGGUUAUGCACACAUGAAGAAUAUGAGUUGGCUCGAAAUUGUUUCGAAGAUUAGAGCUCAUGUUUUGGACCUUAAUUGGAAUGUCGAUUGAGCUAUUAAGCAUCGCUUGGAUUUGCGCAUGGUUCGGGACUUGGGUGUAUGCACUGCUAGGUUUUAGGUGUUAUCCAAGAUUUAUAUCAUGUAAAACAAGUCACAGCCGUGUAUGUUUGAAUGCUAUUGCCUUGUAAACGCCGUAUGUAAUUUGGAUUCACAUUGUGUUUGAAUGGCUUGAAUGGGAAAUGGUUUAUGAACGAUUUUGUAUUGGUUAUGUAAUGAA
Molecule: long non-coding RNA, 1525 nt
Organism: Lathyrus oleraceus (garden pea)
Lineage: Eukaryota; Viridiplantae; Streptophyta; Magnoliopsida; Fabales; Fabaceae
Exons: 3
Source: RefSeq, a predicted model, not a curated record